Molecule: long non-coding RNA, 174 nt
Organism: Leopardus geoffroyi (Geoffroy's cat)
Lineage: Eukaryota; Metazoa; Chordata; Mammalia; Carnivora; Felidae
Exons: 3
Source: RefSeq, a predicted model, not a curated record
UUAACUCUCUGUGUCUGUUUCUAUGUGUUAGGAAAGUCAGCUGUGUCUCCUGUUCUUGACAGUAGUGGCCUUAUAAAGAAGAGGUCCUAUACUACCCUGCAGUGCAAUGUUCCCUGUUAACCAGAAUCUGGCACUUCAGGGGGGUCUCCUAUGUGUGAGGCAUGUGCCCAGCUG